CCUACGGGGCGCAGCAGUGAGGAAUAUUGGUCAAUGGCCGGAAGGCUGAACCAGCCAAGUCGCGUGAGGGAAUAAGGCCCUAUGGGUCGUAAACCUCUUUUGUCAGGGAGCAAAGGCGUCCACGAGUGGACGAAAGGAGAGUACCUGAAGAAAAAGCAUCGGCUAACUCCGUGCCAGCAGCCGCGGUAAUACGUAGGUGGCAAGCGUUAUCCGGAUUUAUUGGGCGUAAAGGGAACGCAGGCGGUCUUUUAAGUCUGAUGUGAAAGCCUUCGGCUUAACCGGAGUAGUGCAUUGGAAACUGGGAG
RNAcentral lists this ribosomal RNA (305 nucleotides) under uncultured bacterium. RNAcentral describes it as "bacterial SSU rRNA". It matches the Rfam family "Bacterial small subunit ribosomal RNA", at positions 338 to 639 of the family's 1533-position model. The record is from RNAcentral.